Molecule: long non-coding RNA, 284 nt
Organism: Homo sapiens (human)
Lineage: Eukaryota; Metazoa; Chordata; Mammalia; Primates; Hominidae
Exons: 2
Source: RefSeq, a predicted model, not a curated record
AGACAGCUAGCCAAACCUCCACUGUCCCCUGGCUGUGGAACUGUGUCCGGAGAUGGUUCCUUCCGGUGGGUUCUUGGUCUCGCUCACUUCAAGAAUGAAGCCGCGGACCUUCACGACAGAAAAGUUCUCCAAGUCCCCACCGGACCAAGAAGUCCAACUGGCUUCACCUCCCAGAACAAGCCACCAAGGAAACCACCUGGAUCACACAGAAAUCACACGCAUGACCCUGACCUUGGUCCCUUCUCAACAGAAAAUUUAAAAUAAAAUAAAACAACCUCUCAAAA